Cryptomeria japonica (Japanese cedar) is the source of this 92-nucleotide small nucleolar RNA. RefSeq annotates it as small nucleolar RNA snoR31/Z110/Z27. The record is from RefSeq and is a predicted model, not a curated record. The transcript has a single exon. Lineage: Eukaryota; Viridiplantae; Streptophyta; Pinopsida; Cupressales; Cupressaceae.
UUCAUCAAACGAGGAAAUUUAACACUAUCUUAGGACACCUCCUUACACAGCCCUAAAGCUGUGGAUGAGAGAUAUUUGGAUCUGAUGAUGAA